RNAcentral lists this ribosomal RNA (757 nucleotides) under uncultured archaeon. Its description in RNAcentral is "bacterial SSU rRNA". It matches the Rfam family "Archaeal small subunit ribosomal RNA", at positions 102 to 859 of the family's 1478-position model. The record is from RNAcentral.
GGAUAAUCUACCCUUAGGACUGGGAUAACCCUGGGAAACUGGGGCUAAUACCGGAUAGGCAAUUUUUCCUGCAAUGGUUUUUUGUUUAAAUGUUUUUUCGCCUAAGGAUGAGUCUGCGGCCGAUUAGGUAGUUGGUUAGGUAAUGGCUUACCAAGCCGUUGAUCGGUACGGGUUGUGAGAGCAAGAGCCCGGAGAUGGAACCUGAGACAAGGUUCCAGGCCCUACGGGGUGCAGCAGGCGCGAAACCUCCGCAAUGUGAGAAAUCGCGACGGGGGGAUCCCAAGUGCCAUUCUUAACGGGAUGGCUUUUCAUUAGUGUAAAGAGCUUUUGGAAUAAGAGCUGGGCAAGACCGGUGCCAGCCGCCGCGGUAACACCGGCAGCUCUAGUGGUAACAAUUUUUAUUGGGCCUAAAGCGUCCGUAGCCGGUUUAAUAAGUCUCUGGUGAAAUCCUGUAGCUUAACUGUGGGAAUUGCUGGAGAUACUAUUAGACUUGAGACCGGGAGAGGUUAGAGGUACUCCCAGGGUAGAGGUGAAAUUCUGUAAUCCUGGGAGGACCGCCUGUUGCGAAGGCGUCUAACUGGAACGGUUCUGACGGUGAGGGACGAAAGUUAGGGGCGCGAACCGGAUUAGAUACCCGGGUAGUCCUAACUGUAAACGAUGCGGACUUGGUGUUGGGGUGGCUUUGAGCUGUUCCAGCGCCGAAGGGAAGCUGUUAAGUCCGCCGCCUGGGAAGUACGGUCGCAAGACUGAAACUUAA